AGUGAACGCUGGCGGUAGGCCUAACACAUGCAAGUCGAACGGCAGCACAGUAAGAGCUUGCUCUUACGGGUGGCGAGUGGCGGACGGGUGAGGAAUACAUCGGAAUCUACUUUUUCGUGGGGGAUAACGUAGGGAAACUUACGCUAAUACCGCAUACGACCUACGGGUGAAAGCAGGGGAUCUUCGGACCUUGCGCGAUUGAAUGAGCCGAUGUCGGAUUAGCUAGUUGGCGGGGUAAGGCCCACCAAGGCGACGAUCCGUAGCUGGUCUGAGAGGAUGAUCAGCCACACUGGAACUGAGACACGGUCCAGACUCCUACGGGAGGCAGCAGUGGGGAAUAUUGGACAAUGGGCGCAAGCCUGAUCCAGCCAUACCGCGUGGGUGAAGAAGGCCUUCGGGUUGUAAAGCCCUUUUGUUGGGAAAGAAAUCCAGCCGGCUAAUACCUGGUUGGGAUGACGGUACCCAAAGAAUAAGCACCGGCUAACUUCGUG
Molecule: ribosomal RNA, 491 nt
Filed under: uncultured bacterium
Lineage: Bacteria
Description: partial 16S ribosomal RNA
Rfam family: Bacterial small subunit ribosomal RNA
Source: RNAcentral